Molecule: transfer RNA, 69 nt
Filed under: Trichuris sp. LO613
Lineage: Eukaryota; Metazoa; Nematoda; Enoplea; Trichinellida; Trichuridae
Description: tRNA-Asn
Source: RNAcentral
UAGAGUUAAGCAUAUUUACUAUAAUACAAUGAUGCAAGAAAUUGUUAUUUUCUAGAAGAUUCACUCUAG